Molecule: long non-coding RNA, 1493 nt
Filed under: Equus asinus (donkey)
Lineage: Eukaryota; Metazoa; Chordata; Mammalia; Perissodactyla; Equidae
Description: lncRNA (ENSEASG00005028530.1)
Source: RNAcentral
GUCAGGAAUCACGAGGUCAUGAGAAGUUAGGGUGGCCCUAGGUUGGUGACCAGCAACCACUGAGAACAAGCCCGGGCAGGCCUGGCAGAAAAAGAGAAAGGGGCACUGGUCUGACCCCAGAAAAGUGGGUGCUGCUUCUGGUUCCCAAGCUGCCGUGGCCAAAGGUCUGUUUGUGUUUCUCAGGUGUGGAGGCAAGUGCCCUGUAAUUCUGCAGCUCAUCUCCUCUGCCGUGGCCUGAUUCUAUGGGUCGGACCUCUACCUGCUUCCUCCCACAGGGCUGGAAGCCCAGACAUGGUCUACCCCACUUUCCUUGCCAGAUCCUCUGGCCUCUCUUCCCAGCCCAGGACCUGAAUUGCCUAGAUCGCAGCUCCCAGAAGGAGAGAGCUGCAGAGACGUCAGAUGGAGGCCAUAGAGUGAGGAUGCCAGGAUGCCCAGGACCUCAGUUUGAAAACCACUGAGCUGCCAAUCCCACCUCCUGAUUUUACAGAUGCUGAAUGUAAGAGGAGAACUUGGUAGCUGACACAAAGCUCCAUCCAGGAUCCAGUCCCUUCUCCACGAGAUUCAGCAUCAGUCAGCAGUGAUCCCAUGACCACUGGGAACCAAACGCUGUCCUAGGCCUUCCUUGUGCUCCCUCUCCAUCUCCAGCCAAAGUGGGUCGAGCUGAGGGACAGGGAGGUGAUCUGGAAAGAGCAAGUGCAACUCUCUGCUCUGCCGUGUAUCAGCUGUCUGUUUAAUCACAUCCUCAGAACCUCAACUUCUUCACCUAUAAAAUGUGAAUAAAUAGAACAGACCUUGAGAGACCCAAGUGAAGCUUCAAGGAGAGAGGGCAGCGCAUCUACAAAAUCAGCCCAGGGCCUGCCCGCUGAGCACUUCCUGUCGGCUUGCUUCUCUUCCACUUUCUCUGAGCCUCAUUCCUCUGGGACCCCAUGACCCCUGUCGUGGCUCUGCCCUCAAAAACCCCUCUCAUCUCUCGGGGAAUCAGAGUGGAGUCAGAAGAAAGAGGCUUAAUUGAGAAGGUUUUUCUGGUUUCUCAAAAGACCACGAUUCUGGGGAAGAGAGGCUCAGGAUGGGUAUGAGAGAGGAAGCCCUCAGGCAUAUAGAAUAUGGCCGCAGAGGGACAGGAGUGUUACCUUGGGGGGGGGCGGAGUCCUGCUUUCCUGGAGGAGAGUGGGCGAGUGGGCACUACUCCAGCUCCAGAGCAUGGAUCGGAUAGGCCGGGCGGGGGCUGGGCCAGGCGUGGCUCUUCUGCCAGCCUGCCCUCAUGGUCCAGCCCAGAACUUGCACAACAGCCUGGCUUGCUGGCUGCCUGUUUGGCUGGCAGUCCCCUGGGAACCUUAGGAAGUCCCCCUUGUCCUCCCCUUGACCUUUGACCCCUUAGGCCUGCUACAGGCCAGAAUUCCAGGCAGCUGUCCUCUCUUUUACCUUCUGUUCCUGGCCAUUUCCCUUUAAGCCUGGGACUAGGAGACACCCCAAACCCCUACCUUAUAGCUCAU